CAAUUUCUGGAACAAAGUGUUGUACCUUUUUCAAUUUUUUUCGUACUUUAGAUUUUUUUUUUAUCUCAUCUAUGAACAUUCAUACGGGAGGUUUUGGAUCAAAAUAGGCAGAAAUGAUCCGCUGCAUUUCCAGGAGGACUGUGUUCUCCUUAGAGACAAAGUUUAUCCAAAUCGUCAUCCUUUAGUUACACCAUUUACAACACCUCAAAUUAAUGGUAAAGCAUAACAUUUGAGAGAAAGAGCAGAAAAUUUAAUCGCGUGAUUGGUGAAAACAGAAUUCAAGUGGAAUACCAAAUUGGUGAAUAGAAAAUAAACAAAGUAUUGAGUACAUUUUGAAGCCACCCAAAGUCAAAACUAACAGACAUUGUGGAAAUAUGUGCCGCUCUUGUCAACAUACAUAUUUAUGAUAAAACAUUGAUUAAUUAAAUAUCAACUACAAUUAAACAUGCUUUGUUCUUUGCAUUUCCCAAAUUCCACCAGGACAGCUAGAAGCGCAACGUCUAAAAAGAUGAAGUGUGACUUUAAGUCCAUCAUUUUCUUUAUAAUAAAUUAAAAAAAUCCAUGUUAUUUGGACUCUGUAGGAAAGCUGUAUCAUUGUCAAUGAAAGCAAUAAAAUCAAUAAUGAUUUCAAUUUUUUUAAGUUUUGAGACGACCCCUCACAUUUUACCUGUCGUAGUCGUUCUCAACUGUAGGUGUCGAGAGAUGUUGAAAAGGUCUAUU
RNAcentral lists this long non-coding RNA (720 nucleotides) under Mytilus galloprovincialis (Mediterranean mussel). Lineage: Eukaryota; Metazoa; Mollusca; Bivalvia; Mytilida; Mytilidae. The record is from RNAcentral.